This 239-nucleotide long non-coding RNA is filed under the name Setaria italica (foxtail millet). RNAcentral describes it as "long non-coding RNA (SITA_LNC001270)". The record is from RNAcentral. Lineage: Eukaryota; Viridiplantae; Streptophyta; Magnoliopsida; Poales; Poaceae.
CAUGACUCUCACCCCCAAUGUUAGUCGUACCGUAACUUCUUAUAGAAUACACCAUCCUUUCUGGCCCGUACGGUUCUGCUAAGUGGUGCACGGAUCUAAGCUCAGCCUCUGAUAAAUAAUCAUCUGCAACUUGCCCAAUUCUAUAGCCUUGAUCCAACAUUUCACGUGCCUUUCGCCAUCGGUUCACAAAGUAGGCGUUGCAUUUUUCGAAUGUGUAUUCAAUAAUUCCAGCGACGGGC